This 468-nucleotide ribosomal RNA is filed under the name uncultured bacterium. RNAcentral's name for it is "partial 16S ribosomal RNA". It matches the Rfam family "Bacterial small subunit ribosomal RNA", at positions 28 to 507 of the family's 1533-position model. The record is from RNAcentral.
GAUGAACGCUGGCGGCGUGCUUAACACAUGCGAGUCGAACGGAAAGGCCCAAGCUUGCUUGGGUACUCGAGUGGCGAACGGGUGAGUAACACGUGGGUGAUCUGCCCUGCACUUCGGGAUAAGCCUGGGAAACUGGGUCUAAUACCGGAUAGGACGAUGGUUUGGAUGCCAUUGUGGAAAGUUUUUUCGGGGUGGGAUGAGCUCGCGGCCUAUCAGCUUGUUGGUGGGGUAAUGGCCUACCAAGGCGUCGACGGGUAGCCGGCCUGAGAGGGUGUACGGCCACAUUGGGAAUGAGAUACCGCCCAGGCUCCUACGGGGGGCAGCAGUGGGGAAUAUUGCACAAUGGGCGCAAGCCUGAUGCAGCGACGCCGCGUGGGGGAUGACGGCCUUCGGGUUGUAAACUCCUUUCGCUAGGGACGGAGCGUUUUUGUGACGGUACCUGGAGAAGAAGCACCGGCUAACUACGUG